CUUUCUUAACAUAUCACGGAUCUGUGCUCUGCGAUCCUCUGCUUCAUUCGUGGAGUCAGGGUCGAUUGCUUUGCAGCUCGAUAACUCCAUGGAGCCAUCAACUUGUUAUGGUGUCAAUCAUCCUAUCGACAGUUCCCAGAACAACGGGUCCUCUGGCCGCCUCAUUCGCCGUCGCAAGACGGUUUGAGUGUCCGUAGCUGGAGGUACCAGAGACGCUAUAUUCCACCCCCCUUUUCCGAGACCGUCGGUUGGUGAGGUUGGGGAAAACCAUGGUCUGCCUACAUUU
This 286-nucleotide small RNA is filed under the name Neonectria ditissima. Its description in RNAcentral is "A. fumigatus sRNA Afu_309". It matches the Rfam family "A. fumigatus sRNA Afu_309". The record is from Rfam by way of RNAcentral. Lineage: Eukaryota; Fungi; Ascomycota; Sordariomycetes; Hypocreales; Nectriaceae.